This is a non-coding RNA of Triticum aestivum (bread wheat), 125 nucleotides long. The record is from Rfam. Lineage: Eukaryota; Viridiplantae; Streptophyta; Magnoliopsida; Poales; Poaceae.
CAACUACUCCCUCUGUCCCAAAUUUCUUGUCUUAGAUUUGUCUAGAUACGGAUGUAUCUAAUACUAAAAUGUGACCGUAUCUAGACAAAUCUAAGACAAGAAUUUUGGGACGGAGGGAGUACUUU